RNAcentral lists this unclassified non-coding RNA (638 nucleotides) under Hevea brasiliensis (rubber tree). Lineage: Eukaryota; Viridiplantae; Streptophyta; Magnoliopsida; Malpighiales; Euphorbiaceae. The record is from RNAcentral.
AAACAAGUGAUAUUUAUCUGCUGAAUGGAGGGUUGUUCAAAGAUUACUGAGGCAUGUCCUCAGUUACUGGAUUUGAUUCCAAGAGAAAGGGAAUGGCUAGUUAAAAGAGCUGAUGAAAGAUCCUCAGAGGAGAAGAAGCUUGAACUAAGGCUUGGUCCACCUGGUGAAGAAUGGUCUCUUCGCGAGAACGCUAAAAACGCAGAUGAUAGAGAAAGAGAUGAAUCUCUUCUCUCUCUUGGGUACUUCUCCAAUGGAAACCAACAUACCCGCAAAUUUUCUUCACCUGAAAACCUACAGCCUGGUUCUGUAUGGUUCAAUCAACAACUAUCACAACAAGCGAAGGCUACUCCAUUUCUCCAGUUUCCAUCAAAAACAGUAACAACACGACAGAGCCUGCCUGUAAUGGCAAAGGAAUCCUCACAGCCCUGUUGCACUAAAGUGGUAGUAGACUUGCAGCAGAGCGCAGAAAAGAAGGCGUUUUCACCGCCAGCUCCUGCAAAUACAGCUGUUGUGCCCAGCAGCUCUCAGAAAAGAACUGCUCCUGGUUCAGUUGUGGGUUGGCCUCCAAUUCGUUCAUCCAGGAAGAAUCUUGCAAGCAGCAGCUCGUCAAAACCUGUUACUGACUCACAAAAUGAAAG